RNAcentral lists this RNase P RNA (390 nucleotides) under Arachidicoccus rhizosphaerae. Its description in RNAcentral is "Flavisolibacter sp. Vu-144 Bacterial RNase P class A". It matches the Rfam family "Bacterial RNase P class A". Rfam says of the family: Ribonuclease P (RNase P) is a ubiquitous endoribonuclease, found in archaea, bacteria and eukarya as well as chloroplasts and mitochondria. Its best characterised activity is the generation of mature 5'-ends of tRNAs by cleaving the 5'-leader elements of precursor-tRNAs. The record is from Rfam by way of RNAcentral. Lineage: Bacteria; Pseudomonadati; Bacteroidota; Chitinophagia; Chitinophagales; Chitinophagaceae.
CUAUUGACCCGCGCUAUCGCGGCCGGUACCCUUAAAAAGUACGGUCGAGGAAAGUCCGGACAGCAUAGAGCAGCUUACCGGUGAAAUGCCGGGGAUUCUUGAUAAAAGAAUCACAGCCAGCACCACAGAAAAUAACCGCCUUAUGGCCUAAGUGGCCUGAGGUAAGGGUGAAAAUGUACGGUAAGAGCGUACGGGAGAGGCUAGUAAUAGCGUCUUUGGGUAAGCCUUAAGCGCUGCAAUGUCACAUAUAGUCGGGGUUGAAAGCGGCUCGUUUGAUGUCCUGUUUACAGGGCAACCCGAUGGGGUAGGCAGCUACAUCAAAACAGUAAUGUUUUGGGCAGAUAAAUGAUAGUGUAGAAACAGAAUCCGGCUUACGAGGUUGAUAGCAUU